GGACCUCUACCAAGAAAAUCAGACAAUUGCCUAAUAUGCUACCCAAUUUGUCCAACUAUCUAGGUUUUCUCCUCUAAUGGUCACCCUUGAAAGUUGUAAAGGUAGGAAGUUUCUGAAAGGUCUUCGUGUUGAUAUUUAUGAUCGAGUUACGAUGCUGAGGCCCAAUUUGUAUGUAGAGGUGUUAAAACAUGCCUAGUCGACCGAAUACCUCAUCUCGGCCAGGCAC
RNAcentral lists this long non-coding RNA (226 nucleotides) under Carica papaya (papaya). RNAcentral describes it as "long non-coding RNA (CPAP_LNC013195)". The record is from RNAcentral. Lineage: Eukaryota; Viridiplantae; Streptophyta; Magnoliopsida; Brassicales; Caricaceae.